AAGACAUUGAAAACCAUAGCCGUAUCUCUCCGAUAACUAGCCUACAAGUCGAAGAAAAAUCGUUCCACAUACAAGCUUUGCAUCAAUUUUUUUUCUCAAUCUGCGGCAUACUAUGAACGAUCGAGCUUCUUUUCUCCUUCUCUUCUUUUAUUCUCCUUGUCGUGUCCACACUCCACAGCUUGCUCCACAACAUAGCAAAACCACAACAACAUCAACCAGGGAGCGGAAUUGAUUCCUUCAGAAAUUUUGAGGGGGUCUUUCUUGAUUUAAUUUUCGAGUGAGAUAGUUCGUUUGGUUAUGAGACAAUCUAAGACAUUGAAAAUCAGUGCUAGUCAUCUAGUGUUACCAACAAUUUUUAUUCAAGAACAUGCUAUGAAUGAGAAAUCAUGUGUAUGGCACACUACUGAUUUCUUUGAAGGUGAAUGGAAAGAAGAGUUGUUCUGUGUUCAAUUUGCAUCCAUUGAGAGUAAGUACUUCUUGAGAUUUUAAUUGAUUUCAAUUUACUAUUGGUAUUUUAUUUCUGUAUAUUUUGAAGAGAGUUUUGCAGCACCAGUUACCAUUAGGGUUGUCUUUGUUUUCUUGUUUGAUUGCUCAUGUUAAUCUUAGUAGCAAAUGACUAAGUGUAUCCAACUAUCAAUGUU
Molecule: long non-coding RNA, 641 nt
Organism: Papaver somniferum (opium poppy)
Lineage: Eukaryota; Viridiplantae; Streptophyta; Magnoliopsida; Ranunculales; Papaveraceae
Exons: 3
Source: RefSeq, a predicted model, not a curated record